Long non-coding RNA from Spinacia oleracea (spinach), 936 nucleotides. RefSeq lists it as uncharacterized. The record is from RefSeq and is a predicted model, not a curated record. Lineage: Eukaryota; Viridiplantae; Streptophyta; Magnoliopsida; Caryophyllales; Amaranthaceae. The transcript is spliced from 5 exons.
AAACGACCCGCACAAAAUUUCGGGUUCUUUUUUUCCUUUUCAUUUCCUCGCUCCUCUGAUCCUCUCCUUCCCCUUCUCUGCUUCUUCUCCGGUUCUUUUCUAACGCGUCGCCGCUGCUCUUCCUCUUCCUACCGCGUCGCCGCUGCUCUUCCUCUCCUCUUCCUUCCGCGUCACUCCCCCUUCCCCCACCGCCGCUGAGUUCUACCUUCUUCCAGAUCGAGCCAAUUAUGGGUGACCUUCCUGGCCGCAGAAACAUGCUUGGUAUCAGGUUCAAUUAGAAACGCAUAUCACACAAAGUGCCAAGGAAUCUUUGGUCAAGAACAUUUAUCACGCGCCACACUCUGCAUGGGGGGUUUUGCUGCUGCAGCUGCACUGACAUUGCUGUCAAUGAUUGGAUUUGUCGUCUAUUAAUAAAUCCACUCUAAGGAUGACACUGGUGGUUGGCGGAGACAUCAAAAUGAAGGUAUCAGUAGACCGUAUCAAAAUACUUCUUGAACUCAUUGAGGUUUAUAAUGAAUGGCCUGAUGUGUGGCGUCUGCCAGCUGGUGUCAAAUUUGAUGCAUAGUUUUUUUCUCAACUGCUCGAACAUCUUGCAGAAAAAUGUGAUGCAGGAGAAGUAAAACCCCUUGCCUUCAUUGAUCACCUAUCUUUGUGCCGAACUUGUUUCACCAUUGUUCUCAUCACUUGUAGGUUCCUCGAGAGGUAUUCAAUAAUCCGAGGGAGCGGCCUUUCACCUUUGAGGAGAUAGAUGAAGUUCGAAAAUUGUUGGCAAACUUCAUUACCAGUGAUUGUCUUUGAUAUUUUCUUGUACUGAAUCUUAAAUUAUGGAUGCUAGCUAGUUUUUCAUAUGAUUAUAAUGUAAUCGACUUUUAUAUUUACAAUUAUAUACUAUUUAAUUUAAUUAUCUAUAUAAUUGGAUACUUUUUACAUAUAUAA